This 445-nucleotide ribosomal RNA is filed under the name uncultured bacterium. Its description in RNAcentral is "bacterial SSU rRNA". It matches the Rfam family "Bacterial small subunit ribosomal RNA", at positions 32 to 507 of the family's 1533-position model. The record is from RNAcentral.
AAUCAACGUUGGCGGCGCGCUUAACACAUGCAAGUCGAACGAGAAAGUGGAGCAAUCCAUGAGUACAGUGGCGUACGGGUGAGUAACACGUGGGUAUCUACCUCUUAGUGGGGAAUAACCCUGGGAAACCGGGGCUAAUACCGCAUAAGCCUGUGAGGGGAAAGUCGAAAGACGCUGAGAGAGGAGCCCGCGGCCGAUUAGCUAGUUGGUGGGGUAAAGGCUCACCAAGGCAAAGAUCGGUAGCCGGCCUGAGAGGGCACACGGCCACACUGGCACUGAAACACGGGCCAGACUCCUACGGGAGGCAGCAGUGGGGAAUCUUGCACAAUGGGGGAAACCCUGAUGCAGCGACGCCGCGUGAGCGAUGAAGCCCUUCGGGUGUAAAGCUCUUUCGACGGGAACGAUAAUGACGGUACCCGGAGAAGAAGCUGCGGCUAACUACGUG